This 25704-nucleotide long non-coding RNA is filed under the name Marmota monax (woodchuck). The stretch from base 1732 to 1789 matches the Rfam family "tRNA", at positions 8 to 63 of the family's 71-position model. Lineage: Eukaryota; Metazoa; Chordata; Mammalia; Rodentia; Sciuridae. The record is from RNAcentral.
CCUGACCCCGCGGGUAACGCCUGUGCGCACCCGGUGCAGCCCGCGGCGUCUGAACAAGACCCACGGGGACAGCGGUGUGUAGAAUUCGGUGCUGUGCACACGGGAGCCACGGAGGAGCGUGUUAAGACCUUAAGUCACAUGACCUUCCUGCCCUGGGUUCAGGGUGGGACUGAGCCCUGGAAAGGAGGCCCGUUCAACUGAAAUGAAGUGCUCAGUAAGUACCUUUGACUUUUCUGAAGGCCACGUGAAAACGUUCAAAGGAACAGGUGAAACUACCCGGCACAGCUCAGCCAUACAGUGCUUUUCUGGCAAAUCGAAGCCCUGGGUUCCAGCCCAGCAAAAACAAGAUAAUUCAGAAAACAAGAGAGAAAGUCACAGGUGAGGUUGGUUGUGAUGUCUUUAAAGCAGUAUAUGUAAAAUGUCAUUGAUGAACUAUGCAAACAGUACAAUGAGGUGUUGCUACUAAUAACAUGUCUUUAUGGUGCUACUCAUUAGGACAGGGCUCAAAGAAAUCUCUGGAGACAGAGUCCCACUCUCAAAAUGCAAAGUUUAUUGACAAGAAUAACUUGCCCGUCUGUCCAGUAGAGUGGCACAACAUAACACAUUUAUUUGAAUAGGGUUUUUGUAACUUUUUAACAAGGAGAAAGAGCAAGCUAGAAAUGACUUUGGGUGCGGGUGGCUGGGUAAUAACAGAUUUUUGUAUUUAGGGACCUUUGGGGGGGGGCGUUAUGGGAACAGGGCAUUUUAAGUUUCUUUUUCUUGGCAUCUUAUGUUAUGGGAACAGGGAAUCUUAAGUUUUUUUCUUGGUAGUUCUGAGGCUCAGAACCAAAAUGAGUUACAACUGUCCAGGGGUCUAACACUUCAGCCUUUUAUUUUAUAAUGAUAAAGGGUAUCAUUCCUCCUGGCUUAUUUGAGCUCAAUAGGGGCAAAGAAUGGUUUAGGACAGAUCUUCAGGGGAGGGGCUAUAUUGGCUCAUAAGGAGCUAGUUUAUAGUCUGAUUAGUGAGUGCCUUUACUGGAUCUUGUAGAAAUUUCUUUAGGCACCUAUUUAGAUAAGAUCCUACGCUGAGAGCUCCAUGAUUAUGUAAGGAGGAGGUCCUUCAAUGGGAGUAGCCAGGGAAGAGAUUCCAGGGUAAAGGCUGCUGCUACUCCUGCUGGAACAUCUGGAUGCUCUCCUGGAGCUCUAACAGCAUUCCUCUCCUAAAAAAGACACAGUGCCUCCCUUCUUUGCCAAUAUUAGACCAAUGGCUCUCCUGUGUCUGAUGUGUGGUGUUAUGGGAAUGGGUAGACUUUCUGGGUUUAAGUGUCAGUUUAAGAAGUAAGGAAAAUUAAGGUAUGCAAGCCAGUUUAUGAGACUCGCAAAGGAUGAAAACCUCAGAAGUUAGGGGAUUCAGGGUUGUGGGACAAACAUAAAUAUGCAUUCUAAGUUUUUUUUCUCUUUUAAAUUUUAUUUAUUUAUUUUAGUUGUUGAUGGACCUUUAUUUUUUAUUUAUAUGCAGUGCUGAGAAUUGAAACCAGUGUCUCUUAUAUUUGAGGCAAACACUCUACCACUGAGCCACAGCCUCAGCCCCAUUCUAAGUUUUAUUUAAAAUAAUUAUUGUUUUUCCUCUAAAAUGUCCAUAUGUGGCUGUGUUUGGGUUAUACUGUCCUGCCAAGUGUUUAAGAUCAAGUUAGUCAAAAAUUGACCUGGUUCCUAUCUGUUUGUUAAGAGUGAACUGAAGGUCUGGGGGCAUAGUUCAGUUGAUAGAGUGGUUGCCUCACAAGCACUAGACCCUGGGUUCAAUCCCCAGCAAAACACACACACACACAAAGAGCUAAGUUCCCAAAGGGGUCAAUCUUGGGAACUUGAGAGUAGUUUCUUAACUCUUUUAGUGCCAUCUGCCAGGUAGGGUUUCCUUGAUGAGGUGGCUUCUCUUGGAAUCAUCAGGGAUGUUUCCCUUCUUGAAUGAUCUUCUUCUUUGCAGCAGGUAUACUAAUUAACUUUCCAUUUACCAGUGGUCUCAUUAAUCUCCCUGAUCAGGAGGUCAUGUGGCCCAGAGUAGUAAAGCUCCUUGGAGAAGUUCUCUUAUUCCCUGGGUUUAGGCUGACUCAGAAGAUAAGAGCCAAACAUUGGUUUUCUUGGCCCCUUUAUUUAAGCUCAAGUUUUAAAUCUUGAUCUUAAACAUCCAGCAAGCCAGCUCCACCAGUCUUAAAGUACAGAGUUUUAACCUUAAUGUUUGUAGCUUUACCCCUUAUAUUUACUUGGAGUCUGUAUUAGUAUUGGAAGUUAGCCUUAUAUUUUAUCUGACCUCAGGUGAUGGCUUAUUAUCUUAAAUUAAUCUAGGUUGUGUGUUUUUUAAGUAGUUCCUCUACAAAACAUUAACAGGUAACAGUUAUAAAGUUUACAAGGAAAAUACAAAAUGAAAUUAAAAAGAGUAAGAACAUGUUUGGCUUGUGUAAUAGCUGUCUUGAACUUCAGCUGCCUUAUGCAUUAUAUACCUGUUUGAGAUCACAGUAAUCUUUAGAAUACAUUAAACUUCUACACAUAACUGUAAAUAAGCUGAAGGCCAGCCUGUUUUGGAGCCAUUUUAACAUGUAAUAAGGUGGAAGGCAGAGCCUCAUGUCAAGUAAGAUGGGACUCUUGAUAAAUUUUAGGUAAAGUGGUCUAGUUUUGAACCUGAUUUUUGCCUGUUUCUUAAAUAUAAUUUUUACAAAGUUUACACAUAUUGGUUUUUGAGUCUAUCUGGAUGUUAGGUUAUACAAUAUAACAUUACAUCUAAAACAUGACUCAAAGGCUAAGAGAGCUUUUAACUCCCCUUUUGUGGGGAUAAGUGGGAAAAUGUUUUCAUAUUUUAUAAUAUCACCUCCAAACAGAUUAGGCUCUCCUUAUUAUCUUUUAAGCGUGCAUUUAAAUUCUAAUUCCAGUGUGAAGAGUAAGACAAAAUGGUAUAUAUAACUUACUGAUACUAGGUUAAUUUAUCCAGCUAUGAAACAUUAACUGAGACAAAUAAAUAUUAACUCAGUUGAUUAUUUGUACACAAAUGUGAGAUUCUUGCUACAGAUAAUUUCAGUUUGGAGAACACCAGUGUGGCAAAGUACUCUCUUAAGCUUUAUAUUUAACUAAGGUUAACUUUUAAAGUACAAUUUAGGAAAGAAUAGGAGAAGGAAGAUGGCGGCGAGGGGAGUGCAUUACCCCGGUGUGCUGCUUCACUGUGUGGGAGUAUGACAAGUCAGGACGGCUAAAGGAUAUCUUGUUAGGAAUUUCCAGCAAUAGUGGGGUGCUCAGGAACCUGGAGGAAGGAUUUCCAUCGCACGAGGAUCGGCUACGGGGACUCAAACGCGAGAGGUUUGUCGCACGGAAGGUAACACUGCUUAUUCAGCAAAUCGCCCUGCGGCUAGAGUCUGCAGCGCGCUGGGAUAGAGACGCAGGGUUACAGUGCUGCAGUUUCUGCCAGCCGCGCAAGCACCGUACUCAGGGCUGAAUUCUGGGUUCGAGACGGGGGAAGGAAGCGGUCCAUCUCAGUUCUCCACACCGGUCAGACCACAGAGGAGGCCAGCAGCCACCAUGUUGGUAAACUGACGUCACCUUCCCUGUUUUCGACUGACCGCAGCUCAUUCAGCCAUAGAACAGGUAAUUUCAGGCUGCAAUUCGCCUGCGGCUUGCAGACAGAUUGCUAGGGUUCAGCGCCUGGGUGCUUCUUAGAAUCUGAUCUUAUCGGAGCGAACACCGAGCGCGGGGCGGCCGAGUUCCGGCUCCCGGAACCGUCCCGGAACCGCCCUGGCUCAGGGCUGCGGAGCCUGCGGAGGCUGCUUCUUGGACCCUGCUACUAUCAGAGCAUACACCAAGCACUAAGCAGCCGAAUUCCGGCUCCCGGAACUGAGCCCGCGGGGACUGCUUCUUGGAGCUUACACUUAUAGGAGCUUACACCGAGCACGGAGCGGCCGAGUUCCGGCUCCCGGAACUUCCCUGGACCGGGGCUAGGAGCCCGCGGAAACUGCGUCUCGGUCCGGGUCCUGCUGAGGGCCGGUCAGGACUCACCCGUUGCUUUGGUUGCCCGGCAAGGGGAACGAAAUGCUGCCAUUCGCAUAGGAUACCAACAUGGCAGAGAUCUGAUGUCAGCAGAAAGCGGCGGAGGAGAGAACUUCAUCAAUACCAGCGGUGACAUAAGCAGUUGGUCUCCUGGUAGGGGGGGUGAGGCACAGUCACCCGAGUCUCCUCAAUUUGUCCUCGAGCCAGAGGGGAGGAGCCGGGCCGCCGCCAGCGCCCGGAGCAGGCCCAGCGGCUCGCCAGCGUGGUGACCGCGUGACCCCAAUUGGAGAGGGGGCGGAGCGGAGCCGCCACCCACACCCGCCAGGUGGGCAGACCCACGACCCAGUAGUACAUGGGCGUGGUAGGAGGGGCAGGGCAGAGCCGCCCUUCGCGCUUGCAAGGUAAACAGACCUGUGACAGCCUGGCGGGUCAGGCCCAGUGGCCUGCCAGUGUGGUACACACGUCACCCCAACUGGAGUAGGGGCAGAGCAGAUCCUUUACCCACGCCCGGAUCAGGCCCUGCCGGUGUGGUGGUCACGUGACCCCAAUUGGAGUGGGGGUGGAGCGGAACCGCCACCCGUGCCCGCAGGGUGAGCAGACCAGUGAUCAACCUGCAGAUCAGGCCCAGGGGUCCGCAGGAGUGGUAGGAGGGGCAGGGCAGAUCCGCCGCCCGCGUCUCCAAGGUAGGCAGACCUACAACAGACCGGCGGAUCAGGCCCAGGAGCCUGCCGGCGUGGUACAAACACCACCCUAAUUGGAGUAGUGACAGAGCAGAGUCGCCGCCCGUGCCAGGAACAGGCCCAGCGUCCUGCAGGCGGGGUAGUCACGACACCCCAAUUGGAGUAGGGGCAGAGCAGAGCCUCCACCCGUGCCCGAAAGGUGGGCAGAUCUGCGACCGACCAGCGGGACAGGCCCAGUGGCCUGCCGGUACGACAGACACGUCACCCCAUUUGGAGUAGGGGCAGAGUAGAGCUGCCGCCCGCGCCUGCAGGGUAGGCAAACCUGCAACCGACCGGCGGAUCAGGCCCGGUGGCCUGCCGGCGUGGUACACUCGUCACCCCAAUUGGAGUAGGGGCAGAACAGAGCCGCCACCAGCUCCCAGAACAGGCCCAGUGACCUGCCGGCGUGGUAGCCACGACACCCCAAUUGGAAUAAGGAGAGAGCAGAGCCGCCGCCCGCACCUGCAGGAAAGAUACGCAAGCAGUAUGAAAAGACAAGGAAAGAAAGGACCACAAGCAAUGCAGGUCAACGCAACUUUAGAAGAGGUAACAGCUGCAGCAGAUGGAAUGUCAGAUAAAGAAUUCAGGAUAUACAUGCUUCAGAUGAUCUGGAGUAUCAAGGAAGACAUUAAACAGCAAAAUCAGACAAUGAAAGAUCACUUCGACAACGAAUUACGCAAACAAAUCCAGGAAGCAAAGGAUCAACUAUACAGGGAGAUAGAGGUUAUAAAAAACAAGCAAUCAGAAAUCCUAGAAAUGCAGGAAGCAAUAAACCAACUUAAAAACUCAAUGGAGAAUACUACCAGCAGAGUAGAACACUUAGAAGAUAGAACAUCAGACAAUGAAGACAAAGUAUUUCAACUGGAAAAGAACAUAGACAGCUCAGCAAGACUGUUAAGAAACCAUGAGCAGAACAUCCAAGAAAUAUGGGAUAACAUUAAGAGACCAAACUUAAGAGUCAUUGGGAUACAGGAAGGUACAGAGCUCCAAACCAAAGGAAUGAGCAGUCUAUUCAAUGAAAUAAUACAAGAAAACUUCCCAGACUUGAAGAAUGAGACAGAAUCCCAAAUCCUAGAAGCCUACAGGACGCCGAAUGUGCAAAAUCAUAAGAGAUCCACACCUAGACACAUUAUAAUGAAGAUGCCCAACAUACAGAAUAAGGAGAGAAUUUUAAAAGCUACAAGAGAAAGGAAGCAGAUUACAUUUAGGGGUAAGCCAAUCAGGAUAACAGCUGAUCUUUCAACACAGACCCUGAAAGCUAGAAGAUCCUGGAAUAACAUAUUUCAAACACUGAAAGAAAAUGGGUUCCAACCAAGAAUNAUGUUCAAAACUCUAGAAAAACUAGGGAUAACAGGAACAUACCUCAAUAUUGUAAAAGCAAUCUAUGCUAAGCCUCAGGCUAGCAUCAUUCUGAAUGGAGAAAAACUGAAGGCAUUCCCUCUAAAAUCUGGAACAAGACAGGGAUGCCCUCUCUCUCCACUUCUCUUCAACAUAGUUCUCGAAACACUGGCCAGAGCAAUUAGACAGACGAAAGAAAUUAAAGGCAUAAAAAUAGGAAAAGAAGAACUUAAAUUAUCACUAUUUGCAGAUGAUAUGAUUCUAUACCUAGCAGACCCAAAAGGCUCUACAAAGAAACUAUUAGAGCUAAUAAAUGAAUUCAGCAAAGUGGCAGGAUAUAAAAUCAACACGCAUAAAUCAAAGGCAUUCCUGUAUAUCAGCGACAAAUCCUCUGAAAUGGAAAUGAGGACAACCACUCCAUUCAAAAUAUCUUCAAAAAAAAUAAAAUACUUGGGAAUCAACCUAACAAAAGAGGUGAAAGACUUAUACAAUGAAAACUACAGAACCCUAAAGAGAGAAAUAGAAGAAGAUCUUAGAAGAUGGAAAAAUAUACCCUGUUCAUGGAUAGGCAGAACUAACAUCAUCAAAAUGGCGAUAUUACCAAAAGUUCUCUAUAGGUUUAAUGCAAUGCCAAUCAAAAUCCCAAUGGCAUUUCUUGUAGAAAUAGAGAAAGCAAUCAUGAAAUUCAUAUGGAAAAAUAAAAGACCCAGAAUAGCAAAAACAAUGCUAAGCAAGAAGUGUGAAUCAGGCGGUAUAGCGAUACCAGACUUCAAACUAUACUACAGAGCAAUAGUAACAAAAACAGCAUGGUACUGGUACCAAAACAGGCGGGUGGACCAAUGGUACAGAAUAGAGGACACAGAAACCAAUCCACAAAACUACAACUAUCUUAUAUUUGAUAAAGGGGCUAAAAGCAUGCAAUGGAGGAAGGAUAGCAUCUUCAACAAAUGGUGCUGGGAAAACUGGAAAUCCAUAUGCAACAAAAUGAAACUGAAUCCCUUUCUCUCGCCAUGCACAAAAGUGAAUUCAAAAUGGAUCAAGGAACUUGAUAUCAAAUCAGAGACGCGCCGUCUGAUAGAAGAAAAAGUUGGCUACGAUCUACAGUCGGUGGGGUCGGGCUCCAAAUUCCUCAAUAGGACACCCAUAGCACAAAAGUUAAUAACUAGAAUCAACAAAUGGGACUUACUCAAACUAAGAAGUUUUUUCUCAGCAAAAGAAACAAUAAGAGAGGUAAAUAGAGAGCCUACAUCCUGGGAACAAAUCUUUACUCCUCACACUUCAGAUAGAGCCCUAAUAUCCAGAGUAUACAAAGAACUCAAAAAAUUAGACAAUAAGAGAACAAACAACCCAAUCAACAAAUGGGCCAAGGACCUGAACAGACACUUCUCAGAGGAGGACAUACAGUCAAUCAACAAGUACAUGAAAAAAUGCUCAACAUCUCUAGCUGUCAGAGAAAUGCAAAUCAAAACCACCCUAAGAUACCAUCUCACUCCAGUAAGAUUGGCAGCCAUUAGGAAGUCAAACAACAACAAGUGCUGGCGAGGAUGUGGGGAAAAGGGUACACUUGUACAUUGCUGGUGGGACUGCAGAUUGGUGCAGCCAAUUUGGAAAGCAGUAUGGAGAUUUCUUGGAAAGCUGGGAAUGGAGCCACCAUUUGACCCAGCUAUUCCCCUUCUUGGUCUAUUCCCUAAAGACCUAAAAAGAGCAUGCUACAGGGACACUGCUACAUCGAUGUUCAUAGCAGCACAGUUCACAAUAGCAAGACUGUGGAACCAACCUAGAUGCCCUUCAAUAGACGAAUGGAUAAAAAAAAUGUGGCAUUUAUACACAAUAGAGUAUUACUCUGCAUUAAAAAAUGACAAAAUCAUAGAAUUUACAGGGAAAUGGAUGGCAUUAGAGCAGAUUAUGCUAAGUGAAGCUAGCCAAUCCCUAAAAAACAAAUGCCAAAUGUCUUCUUUGAUAUAAGGAGAGUAACUAAGAACAGAGUAGGGACGAAGAGCAGGAGAAGAAGAUUAACAUUUAACAGGGAUGAGAGGUGGGAGGGAAAGGGAGAGAGAAGGUAAAUUGCACGGUAAUGGAAGGAGACCCUCAGGGUUAUACAGUGGAGGGGGUAGAGAGAGAGGAGGGGAGGGGAGGGGAGAGGUGGGGAGGGGGAGGGUGGAGGAUGGGAAAGGCAGCGGAGCACAACAGACACUAGUAUGGCAAUUUGUAAAUCAAUGGAUGUGUAACUGAUGUGAUUCUGCAAUCUGUGUAUGGGGUGAAGGUGGGAGUUCAUAACCCACUUGAAUCAAAGUGUGGAAUAUGAUAUGUCAAGAAAUUUGUAAUGUUUUGAACAACCCACAAUAAAAAAUUAAAAAAAAAUAAUAAAAUAAAGUACAAUUUAGAAUCUAGAGUGUAUGGUAAAAAUCAUGGGUCUGUAUGAGUUAACAAAAAUUAAAGGAUAGCCUUAAAUCUCUUAUACAUUUGGGAAACAAUGUUAAUGAUCAGAAAUUGACUUAGUCAAAGUAAACAGAUAUAAGACAGAUUUCUAGGGGCUGGGGUUGUGGCUCAGCGGUAAAGCGCUUGCCAGCAAGUGUGGGCCCCUGAUUUCGAUCCUCAGCAUCACAUAUAAAUAAAAGGUUUAAAAAAGAGAGACAGUAUGGCCCUUCAUGGCCAUGUAUAAAAGAAAACAGUUAUUGGUUAUCUUGCUGGUAUAUUUACAUAAACUUUCACAUGACACAUAGGCUUAAACAGAUGUAGUUCUCAGAUGUAUACAUAUACCUAGUCUCAGAUGUAUACAUAUACCUGUUUUUUGUGUCAACUAUAUUGUUAUAAUUUAAAUGACAACUAUUUGUUUAACCAAUUAUAAAGUAAUCAUAUAAGGCUUUAAAACAGGUGCAAACCCUAGUUUCUUCAAGAGUUAAUUUCCUGCUGGGAGCAGUGGCACAUGCCUGUAAUCCCAGUAACUAGGGAGUCUGAGACAGGAGAAUCGUGAGUUCAAAGCCAGCCUGAGCAACUUAGCAAGGCACUAAGCAACUCUUCGAGAUCCUGUCUGUAAGUAAAAUACAAAAUAGACCUGGGGAUGUGGUUCAGUGCCCCUGAGUUCAAUCACUGGUGUCCCCCUCCAAAAAACAAAACAAAACAAAACAAAAACAGUUUCUUUAAGUAACAAAUACAAGAAAAUUAUUUUGCUAGGUAAGAAUGAGUCAAUGUUUUAGACUUAAUUUCCUGUCAGUACAUCAAAGUUUAAAUAACUGACUGUGCUAACAAAAGACCCAGACAAAUGCAAACCUCAAAAUUAGCUCAGGUUUUUUUGUUUGUUUUUUCCUUCCUGAUUUGUGAAGUUUGCUGAGUGUGUAAGGGAAGGGAAAAUUGGGGAAGAGAAACAGUAGUCUCUUUUCAAGCCAACAAAACCCUUGGUAUAGAUGCUUUUUACUGUCCACGUGGUAUAAAACCAUAAGAGUUUAGCAUAUAGUUGAUAUGAGGUCCUUCAGAGGGCUGCUGGAGUCAGGUCUUGGGCUCAAAGUAUUUGUGCAACACUAAGGAGUCGCCCCAGCCAGAUGCUCUCAGUCACUUGGAGCCGCCUGGCUGCCACCUGCAGCAAACCUUUCCCACCCAGCAGUGGAUAUUUGUCCCCUAAGGCUGCUAGAGGUAGCUUCAGGCCCAAGACCUUCACACAGCACCAGAGUGGCCACCGCGGGCGGAAUUCAGUUGCCUUGGGCUUGUGGCCUCUCCCUUGUACCCAAUCUCUCCCACAUCAAGGGGACAGCAGAGGACACGGGGGACCUACGAUGACAGGGUGGAGAAAUGCAGAGUUAGAUUCAGUCCAAUCCUGGUGCCCUGGCUCUCGGCGGCUCUUCCUUCAGCUUCCACAGAACAGCUUCUGUGCAGCUGCCUCUGAUGGCUUCAUCACGGAGUUCAGUGAUCUGAGGGUGCGCAAGUCCUUGACUCCAGAGGAAAUGAAGAGGCUUGAGUCAGGACAAGAAGAGCAUUGUGGGAAGCCAUUCUCGCAUGUGAUUGGGCACCUCCCUAACUGGGUGUGAGGCGUUCUGGCUAAACUGUGUCAGAACUAAUCCCCACCCUUUCCAGAUGCGAGAGCCUGUGGGGGUGUGACUGACCAUUGACCCUGAGACCAAUCACUCAUCUGACCUUGGAAUGCCUCCCCCUCGACCUUCAUUGGAUGGAAUUUUCCUCUGAAUUUCUUGUUCCCCAUAAAAGGCCACUCCCUGGCGUGCUCUCUCUCUCUCUCUCUCCUGCUAGUCCUGAGUAAGCCUCGCUGCCCCACCGGGUGGUUCAAGGCAGGAGCCAGAGGGAGGGCCGUCUCAGACCUGGUCAAAGAAAAAGGUAAAUUGAGUUUGUGUGUUUAUUUUGAUCUCACUAGUUAACUUCUAUGCUUUGAACCUCUUGUAUGAAGCCAGUGUGGAGAGCAUCAUCCUGGAGGAGGGCAAGGAGGUCCUGCUAGGUGAGGUGACCAGACUGGACAUUCCUAUGCCACCUUUGUCAAGGUGCUCCAGACAAGGACGGCUGCUAUGCCCUCUAUGACGCAAGCCAGGAGAGCAAGAAGGAGGACCUGGUAUUUAUCUUCUGGGCCUCUGAAUCUGCACCCCUUAAGAGCAAAAUGAUCUAUUCCAGGUCCAAGGACGCCAUCAAGAAGAAGCUGACAGGGAUCGAGCAUGAAUUACAUGCAAACUGCUAUGAGGAGGUCAAGAACUGCUGCACCCCGGCUGAAAAACUGGGGGGCAAUGCUGUCAUCUCUCUGGAGGGCAAGCCUUUGUAAGCCCCCUCCAGCCACCUGCCUGGAACAUCUGGCAGCCCCAGACCUGCCCUAGGGGGUUGCAGGCUGCCCCCUUCCUGCCAGACUGGAGGGGCUGGGGGAUCCCAGCAGAGGGAGGGCAUUCCCUUCACCCCAGUUGCCAAACAGCCCACCCACUGAACCUUCCUCCUCCCUCCAUCCCUGACAGUUCUGGCCUUCCCAAACUGCUUUUGAUCUUCUAUUCCUCUUGGGUUGAAACAGACCAAGUCUUCCCCCAGGCACCCAGUUUGGGAGGAGCUGUAUUUUUUUUUAACGAUACCCCUAUUUCCCACCUGUUUUUCCCCCAUCCCAUGAUGCCAAGUUCUAAGUAGUGACUCUGUGCCUGUCUGUUUAGUUCUGUGUAUAAAUGGAAUAUUGUGGAGAUGAUCCCUCCCUGUGCCAGGUGGUUCCCCUCCCUUUUCUCUUGGUCUUGACCAUUCAUGGAAGCAGGACAGUAAGGAACCUUCAAUUAAAGAAUUUAAAAAAAAAAAAGAAAAUGCAGAGAGUUAGAGAUUCGGCCAUAGCCAUGUGAGCAGUGGCUGGAGGGGCUCCCAGCCUUCAGAGGACCUUAGAGGUGCUAGAUGAUCACAGUCACUUUCUAGGCCUCAUCAGCUGUUUAACUGACCACGGAGAAAGGAGCUGUGUUACAGGAAGUAAUAAAUAUUGCCUUGCGCUCAACUCUGGUUAGGGAACCAAUCCCAUCAGAAACACAAACUUUUGAGAUUCUCCUUCUGCAAUUUACUAAAACAUUCAUAAUUUGUCUACAUUCUUAGUUUUAUCCUCUGUUUUGGACUUUAACACAAGAAUAUUACUUUAUUUUCUGAUUUUCCAUACUAAAGUAUAUUUCCAUACCUAUAACUUUCUUUUAUCUUUUUUAGUUUCAGAUCUUUCUUCUGGUGUCCUGCUGUUCUUGCACACCAGAGGCCAUGCCUUUUGGCACCUUCAACUUAUUGCCUGACUGUUCAGACUCCUUACCAUGCAACUAAAUAAAUGUGAGUACAGAAUCUCUUUCAUUCAUUUUAACUCUGACAGACCAAUUUCAAUUGUAAGAUUGUAUAAUUAUCCAGAAAACCAUUUAAAGGCCAGAUAGUGACAGUGAAACAAGCCCAUACCUAUAGUGGCCCAUUCAGCUAGUUUUAAGGGGCUAUUAAUAAGAUCCAUGUAAUAUGGCAUACAUCCUAAAGGGCUAGUAAAAGAUAUGAAAAGCAGAUAAGCAAAACAGAAACCAAAACCAAAGCUGACAGGUUUAAAAAAAAAAAAUGUACAUACAAAUUUCUUCCUUAGCUUGGAUAGUGAAGGACACAGGGCAGGUGGAGGAGUGAGAGCCUUGCAGCUGCCUUAGAUGCCUCUUUCCUCUCAUUGUUGACAUGAUUUCCAGAGUUAAAAGUUCAAGAGUAUUGACCUUGAGAGACCUAAAUUCUAGUUAGAAUAUUGGAGGACUCUGGAGUUUAAAUAAAAUAAUAGUAUUUUAUAAUUCUGUAUUUUUUUAGAACAUGCAUGAACGUAAAAUUUUAACCCUUAAUCAUCUUGCCCUUAAUGAAGACCAGAAAUAAAGCAAUCCUAUACUUUCCAUUGAACAACAAUGUAUAAAAAUCGCAUUUAUAAUGUUUAUCCCGUCCGGUGUAUGUUAAAUCUGAUUUAUCUAUUUUAACUUAGGUUACUCAUGAAAAUUAAAUUUGUUAACAUUUUAAGUCAUCUUUUUUGUUGAUGAAAAUUCUAGAAGAAGCAAUGGACAUUAUAAUAGAAAGUGAUGGUUUUCAUUGUCUGAUCAUUUGGGAAAAGAGUGUGGAUUAGUGAUUUUAAUGACAUCAUUACCUUUAUUUGUUUAUCCAAUUGAAAUUGAACUUUCGAAUCACAUGAAUCAAAGGUAUUUGAUCCAUUUUUGAAUUCUAGUUUAUAAGCACUCAAUAUGUUGGUUUUGAUACAUAUAUACAUGUAGACAAGCCAGUACACAGAACAAAAAAGCAAAGGCCUUAUAGUUUUUGUUUUUAAUAUUUGUUAAAUUGUCAAUGGACCUUUAUUUAUUAACUUAUUUAUAUGUGGUGCUGAGAAUUGAACCCAGUGCCUCACACAUGCUAGACAAGUGCUCCACCACUGAGCCACAAUCCCAGCCCAAGGCCUUAUAGUUUUUAAAAAUUUAUUAGAUUAAGAGUCAACUCUUGUAAAUUGGCCUCUGAAUAAAGCAGAGUGUCAAAAAAAAUAUUUUUGAUGGAUAAAAUAGGUCUGAUCAUAAAUUUUAACUUAGGCACAUAGAAUCAAAAUAAUGAGUUCAGGGGGCUGGGGUUGUAGCUCAGUGGUAGAACUCUUGCCUAGAAUGUAUGAGGCCCUGGGUUCAGUCCUCACUCAGCACCACAUAAAGAUAAAUAAAUAAAAUAAAGGUAUUGUAUCCAUCUAUAACUACAAAAAACAUGUAUAUUAAAAAAUAAUGAGCUAAAAAGAAUUUAAAAAAUAAGUUUCCUAGAAAAAAAAUGAUAUGGCCAUGAAUUAUUUCAAUAAAGCAACAGGAGAGAAUGAGGAGAAAAAGAGAGGGAGAAAGAGAAAGGAGAGAGAGGGAGGGUGGAAAUUUGAAGUUAAAGAGGCAUUCUUUUUCCCUUAGUCUUAGGCCCCCCUAUUGUGCCUGCCAUUUGCAUUCCUGUGCUGGCUUCAGAGGAGUCUUGGCCAGGGAAAUUGCUGCCUAGGGCUUUUAAACCUUAUUUUUUUCUGGUUGGUAAUUAGGCCAGGUUUGGAUACAGAAAAUUAUAAAACAUUAUUUCCCGUUACCUUUGAGGAAUGAGAUUGUUAUGUCAUACUAUAUUUGGUGAUUGAGUAAAGGAAAAAAAAGUUUGGAAGUAGGAACCUCACACAACCUUGUCAUUUUGCAAUAAGUAAAUUCUUUUUUAAACUUUGGAGAAUUUUUGAUCAAAGGUUUCUUACUUGAGCCAUUGGUGCAAGUUAUCUGAUUUAUUUUGUGGCCAAAUUUGAGUACUGAGCCUAUUGGCAUAUUUAAUUUGAGAUAAGUAUGGUAAUAGAGUGUUUUAAAAUUGGCAGAGAGAAAACCUAAGGGCAUGUUUGGGGGAAUUGACUGAGUAGUCCCAUCUUUGGAGAGGCUUGGGGAGGAGAGUAGAGGAGAGGAUUAGAUAAAUAUCGUGUCAGGUGAGAUCAUAGUUCUAUGUCAGAUAUUGGAUUUUUGGUGAAAGAAUCAAGAUAUGUGGUAUAGGAUCUGAGGUGUUUUGGGUCUGGGAGAGGUCAGAGAGGGAGAAAGGGAUAUGGACUCUGAUAAUCCCCCCAUCCAGCAAUUUUCCUAAGGGAGAAAAUAGGAAUGGGCUGGGAAGAUUGGGAGGGAAGCUGUCCAUGACAUCAGGUAUGUGGAGGGCUAGGAAAAUCCAUAUUGGGUGGGCGCUGGGGUGCAGAGUGCUGAGGAUGGAUAUGGGCAUCAGGUGGGGGUGACACACCCAAGAGAAGAAGAGACUCACCAGGGGAUAAUUCACCUGCGGAUUAACCACCCAGUGUUGGAUGAGUAGCUAGAGUGCUCUGAGGAGAGAAGAGGAGAUUCCCUGAGAGAUUUGAGCACUCUGUUUGGAUUGGGGGUUCACCAAAGCAAAUCCCCCGAGGGAGAAUAGGAUUUAUGGUGACACUUCCUUGAUUCCCGGCCAAUAUACCAAAAUGUUAGGACAGAAUGCUCAAAGAAAUCUCUCAAGACAGAGUCUCAAGCUCAAAAAGCAAAGUUUAUUGACAAGAAAAGCCUGCCAGACUGCCCAGUAGAGUGGUGCAACAGCCACAUUUAUUUGAAUAAGGUUUUUAUAUCUUUUUUAGAAGUAGCAAGAGCAAGCUAGAAAGGACCAUGGGUGCAGCAAGCUAGAAUUGACCUUGAGUUCAGGUGGCCCAGCAAUAACAGAUUUGUAUUUAGGGACCUUGUGGGAGAGGUUAUGGGAAUAGGGUAUCUUAAGUUUCCUUUUCUUGGUAGUUUUGGUUCUGGGUGAAGAUAGAGUCCCAGAAUAAAAUGGAGUUACUAAUGUUUAGGGACCUAACAGUACUGUUGCAGGGGACAAACCAGGCAAGACAGCAAAUAGGUACAGGAAGCAGAUUUUAUUGAGCUAUAGCCAGGUUCAUAAGGGCAAGCUUUCACUGUAAUCAAUCAAUCCCCCUGAACCCCAAGUUCAGGUAGUUUCACAACUUUAUACCCAGUAUGUAAGGGGAAGAGCUCAGAAGUUCCCAGUCUGCAUAAGUUCACAUAAAAGCAGCUGUUCUGGCCAAGUUAACCCUUCAAGGACAACACCUGAGAACAGGAGAGCUUCUUCUCCCCUUUGUUUCCUCUGCCUGCCAGCUGUUACCAGCCCAAUUGGUAACUUUUCUUAUCUUAGAAAUGUAGUCAUCUCUGUGAAGCUCAGCUCAAGGUCAGAGGCCUUGUUAAAGGAUUUUUUUUUUUUUUAAUCACACUUUGUAUUUGCAAACACACUUCUACAAACUACUAUACUGGAUAAAUGUUUGUAAAAACUAGUAAGGGGGCAUUUGGCACCUGAUCUCUUCCAGGCCAGUGGCCAAAUAAAAUAGAGCAAUAGAAGUAUAGGAAGUUUAACUAUGUUGGAACCUUUUACCUCCUUUGGGACCGCGGCCAUUAUUAGGUGUUGGCUGAGGUGGACUCAUGGGUUCUUCCAGAGAAUUUCCACCCGAGCGCAGGCUUUUGACCUUACCCCCACCUAAUGGUUUAACCUGAAAUCUGCCUAGGCCCUUAGUGAUAGUGACGUAACUGCUCCUUAUUGAUUCUCGCUACUGUCUCUUCUUACCCCUCCUUCUAUCACUAUAUAACCUUGUCCCUAACACAAUAAAGUUGAGAUUGCUGCACCUUCACAGUUGACUCAACUCCCGGCUCAGUGUGGUUUGUUCCCAAUCUUGGGUGGGGACUGGACAGCAACACUUACCCUCUUGCUCAGCCCCUCAGAGACAGCAGGAUGGUCCCGCCUGUCUCCCACGUACCUUUGUUGCAAGGAGCAACAUAACUACAUCGAACUUUUUGUAGAGACUCUUUUGCUGAUAGUCCUGAAAUCAAUUAUGGUGAAGAUUUCUGGAGAAGCUUAGUUACGACCUUCUCUAGAGAAGGGGGUGCCAAUACACUACGUCUUCAAAAUUUUUCUAAUCUCUCAGUAGAUUAGCUCAGUGCAGACCAGCCACAGUCCAUGUACUCAGGAGCCCAACUUACUCUUUGUGGCUGCCACAUCACAGGUGCACUUCUGAGGUUUGUGACCCCCUGAUAUCUGUUGCAGAAAAGGACCCACUUUUGUGCUACAAUAAGGGAACAUCCCUUUCCUGCCAGUAGCUCUCCUGCUUUCCAAGGAACACAGAAGCACAGCCCCCAGAAGAGAACUGGAGCUGCAGGCAAAAAAAUCUCCACAGGUUGACCACAGCUUCCCACCUGCUGGUUAGUGGUGGCUCAGCCCCUCCCAGAGAUCACAGAGCAAAAAAGGAAAGAGGGACCCUAAGACUUCAGCUGUGUCUGCAGUUGACCUCCACUGGUUAAAUGUGCAGGGAGGAGAUUAAAGGAACACUUACUUUCUAUUUUGAUCUUGGCUAUAAUCUUCAGGCUGUGGUUGUAUAGUUUCCUCCUUGCAUGUGUGGAGUGCUCUGUGACUAUCAAUCGCAUGUAUAGAUGUAUAGACGUAAUAAGAAAUAUACCAUCUAAUAAGAAAUACAACCUUAAACAAGGGGAAGAUAAAAUCAGUGCCUUUGGGCUUCCUCUUGGCCAGGUAUCUCAUAGUCAACAAGUUGUUGAAUCCUGGCCUUGCAUCUGCACUGGGUCUAUGUGUCAGGUAUCCUUGAAUGCAGAACAAACCACUCCAGAACUUACCAGCUCAUGACUGGGCUGGUCAGCAAUCUGGGCACAGUGGGGCCCACUCAGGCCUGUGUUGACCAGGCAGCUCUGCUUCUGGGGAGAACUGGCUGUUGGCUGGGGCACCUUGGUUCUCUUCUCCAUGAUAUCUCCUCCUCCAUAAGCAACAGUCUUUGUGCUCAUGGAGACAGAGGGAUCUGGUAAGAAGACCUGUUGAGAGCCACAGCCGAAGGGGCCCCAGCAAACUUCCAGCUGCCAGCAAACUUCCAGCUGCCGGCUGAUGAUUGGCUCACAGCGGCCCCAGCAACAUCUAGUGGCAGUAGUCUUANUCUAAAAAUAAAGCUAGUUUCUUUUGACAAGUGGCUCCUGAUUGUGCCCAGCCAGACUGCGGCAUUUGGUGGCCCGUACGGGGAUCGAACCCGCGACCUUGGCGUUAUCAGCACCAAGCCAGACAGCGGCAAAGACCAAAAGCCAGAAUUUUUUUUCUGUAUUCCUUCUUAUCAUUCACCUAUGUUUGCUGACAUCUUACUGAUGUUCCUUACCAUCAUUUUAAAUUCUUAGAUCCUUCAUAGCUGUCACUCAAUACAGAUAUAUUCCUGGGGAAUUAUUUUUCACAUUGAGAUGACAUGUUUCCAUCCUUGAUUCUUGUGUCUGGAUUUGAUGUCUGCACCUCUGGUGUGAUUUUGUGGAGCCAAUUUUGUAGAAAGGAUUUUUUAGGUAGAUGGACUGGACUAUAGGAUGUUAGUUGUACAGGUGUUUUAGAUUUGGAUAUAGGGAGGUAAAGAAAACAGUCUCCAUGAUCUCAUUUUUUAUUUAUGUAAACCUUGUGUGAGUGCUUCAAUGUUCUGACUACAGAAACUGAAGGUAGUUACCCAAAAUUUCAGUGAAUGUAAGCAUGCAAAGGUGUGCAUCUUCUGGCUCCAUGGCCAAUCCCUGAUGGCACUGAAGCUUUUUGUGACAGCUGCCACCAUCUUGACAACAUCUGAAGAUAAGAGCAUAAGUGGUACUAGAGCUUUUGGCACCGGCAUCUCAGUUCUGAAAUCUGUGUGCUGUGGAGAACAUUGCUGGGCUUCUGAUGAUUGUGCAGAUCUUGUUUGGAACUUUGACACUGGUAUUCAUGCUCCUGGAGGUGGGGAAAUGUGUAUGGGAGUUCCUUCCUAAUCCCAUGGAUAUCAAACAGGUAGCAAAGAGGACUGUGGUUUUAAUAUUUGCAACCCUGAAGAUGCAGAACAGGGCUCAAAAUGUCUCUAGAUCAUGUGAGGCCAACUCUGGUCAGAGCCCAUCUUGUAGUGUUGGUAGUUACAAUCCUAGGGUUACAUGACUGAGUCAAGCUUGAGUGAUGUUGAAGCUAUUUUCAACAACAGCUGUAGUCCCAAGGGCAUUGGCUGGGGAGAUCUUCCGUAGUUUCUACCAGGUGAUCAAAUGUGGUGCUGGGUAUUGAUGCUAUUGGAUUUCUUAUUCCAGGAGCUGUGCAAAAUGGCUUCCACAGUUCAGUCCCAGUGGGUUGGUGUAAGUGAAGUCCAUACUUUGCCUCAGCACCACAGGCUUGAGGAUAUGGAGACCUUCCCAGAUUCUGCAAGAUGAUUUCAGGUACUGGUGGGAAUCUGGACCAUUGAUAGUCAUGGUUCUGGAGUGGUGGGACUUUGCCAGGUGUUUUCUCAUCUCCCAAGGAAUAGAAAUGAGUGAAGAUGGGACUUUCCAACCCUAGUGGUGUGGCCCAGGGGGUGUUUGGCUAGAUCUGGACAGGUGAGCACAGGUGGUGGGCUUGGGCCACUAACUCCUACAUUUCUGGAGCUGUGGGACACAACUGGGGCUUUCUCAGUGCCUGGUGGACAGGAGUUAGUGAAAUUGCAAACUGCAUUGUCCUUGUCUGAAGGUUGCCUUGUGAACUCUGUGCAGUCCAGAGCUCCCUUCCUUCCCUAUUAAUUUCCUGAGCCUGCCUCAGUCUCUGCUAAAAGCACUUCUUUGGUGUCCUGAUGCUUCCCUGUGGCAGCGUGAAGCACAGGGCACAGCCACACAGCCGUCUCGGCUACCUCCUCUAAUGAUGCCAUUAUCUUUCCAUCGGCUCUGGGAAGGGCUUCCCUCCUCAUGCCCAUGACCGUGGCCUCUUCUUUUCUGUAACAGUAGUUCUAGUCUCAAGUUUAACAAAUAUUCUCUGAAAAUAUCUGGAAGAUUUCAGGGAAAAUAACUUCUAUUUUCUGAACACAUAUACACAUCAGUGGACCUCAUCUAUAAAUUAAUUUAUACCGUGGACUUGAAAUGCAUCCUUUGUUACCCUCUUUCUUUUCACAUGAAUCCUUUUCAUGCAUGCUAAGGAUGGGUGCGUUUGUGAAAGGUAAUAAAGACUGAUGUAUAGAUACCUGUUUGAUGACUGUAUUUUUACAUGGACAAUUAGCAAGCACUUCUUUCACAUAAGAUAGAUAUGUAGAUACUUUUUUAAACUUUAUUUUCAUUUCAGGGAUACACUAUAUGUGAACACUUUGUAUUAUUCUUUCAUAAACUUCUAGAUUCAACUAAUCCUGUUUUAUAAGGAUGUUUGUAUCUAUUUUGAUUCUUAAAAGUAACUUCAAGUGGUCUAGUGCUGACAUUGCCCAAUUUUGAUUUUUAUCCUUGGAUGACAUUAGCAGUUUUCUUUAUUUUAAUUUAUUUUAUUUUUUGCAGCUUCCAAAAUCUGGUAAUUAUCUACCAUUCCAAAUAUGUGAUAGAAAUAGAGUGCCCAACAAUAAGAAUGUCCUAUCAUUAUACUGCAUUUCAAAGUCACAGUAAUUUACUAUGUGUGAUCACAUGUGAAUAAUGCAAAGUAGGUUUUGUUUAUUUUAACUUGAUUUUAAUUUUGGAGUUGCCUUAAUUUUUCUUUUUGUGUGUGUGUGGGGGGGGGGGGCGUUACUGAGGUACUGAAACAACAUUUGUCUUUUUCUUGCUCUGCCAUGAUCCCCACACAGCUCAUGAGAUGGGCAGGGCCUCCCCAGAUGUCAGUCAGGGCCUUGCAGGUGCUAGAAAAGGUGUUUUUAAAAAGGGAAUAUUUCACCUUGUUCAGCUAUAAAAUAAAUACAUUCCAUAUCUAAGAAAAACCUGGGCCUCAAUGCAGUAAGCAGGCAAUCUGCUGACAGCAGACAUCAUGAAGCUAGACUCAACCUCCUGAAACCUGACCCCUUGCUUCAUUUGAAUGUCUUUUCUCUAGUAAAAGGGUUUAGCAUGUGCUCUGUCUCUGUUUAUUUUGUGCAACUCAGUUCACCUGGAGUGACCUUGAGUGUUUAGUUGAGAGAUGCAACAGAAUGAAAUUGCAUAAAUUAUGCUAUUUGCAUGCAUGGAAUAUACAAUAGUGGAUUCCAUCAUUAUGUGUAUCUAUAAAGCAUUUAUUUUAAUUUUUUAAAGUAUAAAUAAAUAAAAGGAAGCCUAGUAGAGGAAACAAAACAGAAAAAGAAUAGGAGAAAGGAGAGUUGGUGGGGACUGAAGUAAAGACAAUUACAUCCCAUGGUUGCAUGUUAUGUAAAAAUAAACCCUCAUAUUAGCCAGGCACAGUGGUGCACUCCUUUAAUUGUACCAACAUGGGAGACUGAGGCAGGAGGAUGCCAGUUUGAGAAAAGCCUCAGUAAUAUAGCAAGUUCCUAAACAACUUAGUAAGAAAAUAAAUAUUUAAAAAAUAAAAUAUUUAAAAAAUAAAAAGGGCAGGGCUAGGGUUGUGGCCCAGUGUUAAAGCACUAGCACCUGCAAGGCUCUGGGUUCAAUCCUCACCACCACAUAAAAGUAAAUAAAUAAACAAAUAAAAUAAAGGUAUUGUGUCCUACUACAACUAAAAAAAGAAAUAAAAAUUAAAUUUAAAAUUAAAAGGGCUGUGCAUGUGGCUCAGUGGUAAAGUGCCCUGAGUUCAAUCCCUGACAGCAAACAGAUAUAUAAUUAAAACAAACCCUAAUAUCAUGUAUAACUAUAAUGUACUAAUAAAGACAAAAAGAAAAUAAAAAACAUAAAGCAAAAAAACAAAAACAGUACAAUUUGAGAAAAUAUAAGCUUAAGUAAUACUCUGGUUUUGCUAUUCAACAGCACAAAAGAAAUGAAAAAGACAACAUAGCCUAUUAGUAGCAUUUUUUCCCCUGAGAUUUCCUCAAAUUCUAAAAUAUGUCCAAUGAUAAAAUCAUAAAAUAGAAAAGGAAUAUUUCACCUUAUUCAGCUAUAAAUAAAUACACUCCAUAGCUAAGAAAACCCUGAGCCUCAAUGUAGUAAGCAGAGCAUUUCAAAGUGAUGAACACAGCAAGAGCUUGUGUUGAGGGAGCAUAGAUAUGUCAGGCUCAAGGGGCAGGGAAGGUCCUCCCACCUGGUCCUGCUCACUGAAACACUCCAUGAUCACCCUCCCAGGAGACCUGGACCAUGACUCCAGUCUACGAGGCUUUCAGGUUUGCACAGCACUGCACUGCACUGGGGUGGGUGGUCCUAUGCUCUGGGAGAGUUUUCCUCCUUCACAACUGUGAGAGAAUGCAAGGGCAGGAAUCACUGCUGACCUGACCCCUCAGCACCAGCAUCCACAGGCUCACUGUCCACCUGUCUUCAAGAAUAGAAACAGGGCUUGGGGAGAUAAUAUCCAUAGAAGGUAGCUGUCCAGAUAAGGCCUGUUCCAGAAGAUUCCUCAGCCCCAGGACCUUCUGAUGCUCCCCUGAGAGGCUGUACCCCACACCUCAGGCUGUCCUCUAGGAGGAGCUGACCCAGGGCCUCAAAUUCUCUGCCCCCUACAGGACUUAGGUCACUGUUGCACCUGGGCAGCCCCAGAAAAGGAUAGAACAGUGGCUGAGAACACAGAACCUUGUGAAGAGUCUAGAGGAAACUGCUACCCAAAGACAAUAAGGCCUCUAUGCCUGGGAAAGGCAAGGAAAGACGGACCCAAAGGGUUUUAACAGUGGAGUUCCAAUGAUGUUCUCUACUUUCUCCUCUUGACAAAUGUUCACAAACAGAAACAAAUAUUUAAAAAAGUAUCAUCCAUUACCCAGCGAAAAAAUGAUAAUUUAUUACUGUGCCCACUUUAAUGUAAUGAGGGAAACAAAGAGCUGAUAAUGCUGAAAACUAGAGGGGGUAUCUGGAAAUGUGGGAGAGUCUAAAGGACUCCUUCCAGGGUUGGUGUGAGCAGCCUGGGCCUCUGCAAGGGAGGCUGCACAGAAUGCUCUCACUGGACCUUCAGUGACCUCCUCUUGCAGGACCAAUUCUGGCCUUGGUUUAAAGUUACUGGGAUCAAGGAUCUCUUUCCUCAAAUUGUCAAUCAAAAGAGACACAGUGUUAUAAGAAUCCAGGGGGGAAAUCACUCAAAUUCAUAGUUUAUGUUUAUAGGAGGAAUUGCAUAGCUCUGGUCAACAGAAUCAGUGUUAAACAUUCACCUACAGUUCACAAGGUACAGAACAGACCAUCCACUGCCAAACCCCUGCAAGUGCAGGAGCUGAUGUUUUGGUGAAUCUUUGUAAUGAACCAAUUCAUCCACCACAAUGUAUUGGAGAAAUGUACUAACUUUCUGCAACCACAUUGGAACAAGAUCAUCUCUAUUUUCCCAAGGGCAUUCCCAAAGCACAGCCCUGGAAUUCUUCUACCCCCACACCUCCGAAACUAACAUAUCUGAGAGAUGUAGUGCUCUCACCCUAGAGGAGAAAAAAGGUACAUAAAAAAUUUUAACUAACCAGGUGCAGGCCUGUAAUCCCAUUGCCUCCAGAGGAUGACACAGGAAGGAUACAAAUUCAAAACAAGCCUCAGAAACAUAGCAAGGCCCUCAAAUGCUUGGUAAGACCCUUUCUCAAAAGAAAAAAUAAAAAGUCUGGAGAUUCUCAGCAUAAUCAAUAUGUGAAGAGAAAGCCUACACAAUGGGAAAAAAUCUUUACCACACACACCCCAGAGCACUAAUCUCUAGGAUAUGUAAAGAACUCAAAAACACUAAACACCAAAAGCAAAAAAAAGAAAAAGAAAAAACAAAAACCAAAAUCCAAUAAAUAAAUGGGCUAAGGAACUGAAAAGAUACUUCAUAGAAGAAGAAAUACAAUCAAUCAACAAAUGUAUGGAAAAAUGCUCCCCAUCUCUAGCAAUUAGAAAAAUGGAAAUCAAAACUACUCUAAGAUUUCAUCUCACACCAGUCAGAAUGGCAAUUAUCAAGAAUACAAGCAACAAUAAAUGUUGACCAGGAUGUGGGAGAAAAAGUACACCCAUCCAUUGCUGGUGGGACUGCAAAUUGGUGCAACCACUUUGGAAAGCAGUAUGGAGAUUUCUCAGAAAACUUAGAAUGGAACCAUCAUUUGACCCAGCUAUCCCACUCAUUGGUUUAUACCCAGAGGACUUAAAAUAAGUAUAUUACAGUGACACAGCCACAUCAAUGUUUAGCAGCUUAAUUCACAAUAGCAAAAAUAUGGAACAAACCUAGAUGCCCUUCAACGGAUGAAUGGUAAAGAAAAUGUGGUAUAUUUACAUAAUGAAAUAUUGCUCAGCCUUAAAGAAGAAUGAAAUGAUGGCAUUUGCAUGUAAAUGGAUUGAACUAGAGAAUACCAUGCUAAGGGAAAUAAGUCAAUCCCAAAAAACAAAAGCUGAUGUUUUCUCUGAUAAGUGGAUGCUGAUCCAUAGUGGGGUGAGGGGGACAGGGAAGAAUGAAGGAACUUUGGAUUUUGCAGAGGGGAUUGAGGGAAUGGGUGGGGCUGUGGGGAUAGGAAGGACUAUAGAAUGAGACAGACACUAUUACUCUCUAUACAGGUAUGAUUACACUACGGGACUGACUCUGCAACAUGUACAGCCAGAGGAAUGAGAAGCUGUGCUCCAUUUGUGUGAAUAUGUCAAGAUGCAUUCUACUGUAAAAUAAAUAAGUAAAGCUAAAAAGGCAUCUAUUGAAAACUUACAGAUGACAUCAUGAUUGGAGGUAAAACCUGGGUACUUUAUAUCUCAGGGAAUGAUAAAACAAGAGUAUGUGAGUUUGCUAUUUGCAUUCAUUAUUUUACUAAAAGUUUGGAUAUUGAACAACAAAGAGAAACUAAUGAGAAAUUAUAUUGUAAGCACAUGUAAAAAUUUCUAAGGAAUUUAUACACUCAUAGGAACACACAACACUAGAGUCAGUUAGCAAAUUUGCAGUUGACAACAGAAAUACACACAAAACCAUAAGGUUUUUACACUGGAAAUGAACAAUCUCAAAAUAGAAAUAAGAAGCAAUUCUAUUCAAAAGUGUACAAAAAAAUACUUAGAAAUAAAUUUUACAACAGAAGGUUAAUAUCUGUCUACUGGAAAGGUAAGACAGAAUGUUGAACCUAAUUAAAGAAGAUAUAAAUAAAUGGAAAGGUAGUUAAUACUCAAGCACAACCGAACUCUGCACCAUUAAGAUCACAUUUUCCUUGUUUAUUACAUCCAAAACAACCAAUUUGACAUGUAUCAUUCUGCUUCUUGAAUCAAAAGGUCUUGAGUGCUUGUCUUCCUAGCAAAACCCUCCAUCUCCAUGAGAGCAAAGACUGUUUUGCUGAUGGAGAAGGAGAUAUCAUGGGGAGGAGAACGAAGGUGCCCCAGCCAAUAGCCAGUUCUCCCCAGAAGCAGAGCUUCCUGGUCAACACAUAGAACACAGGCCUGGGUGGGCCCCUCUGUUCCCAGAUUGCUGACUCAUGAGCUGGUGAUUUGUUCUGCAGAGAGGCCAGGAUUGAACACUAGAGUUACCUGGCCAACAACAGAAGGCCCAUAGGCACUGAUUUUAUCCUCCCCUUAUUUAAUGUUGGAUUUCCUAGUAAAUCAUGCUGAGUUACAUAGGUGUAGUUACAUCUACACCUGUGAUUGAUAGUCACAUCAUACUGCAAAGAGAAAAACACAAACAGCCUGGAGAUUGCAGCUAAGGUCAAACUAUGAAGUAAAUGUAAGCUCAGUGGUACACACAUAAUAAAGGCAGGAGGCAGGAAGGAACAGAGUGUCAGGGUGUCCUUAACCUAGGAAGGGCCUUAGCCUAACUAACUCCAUUUUAAAAUAAAACUGCAGUCCCCACCAGGCACGCCUACAGAGCCCUUCAAUAUGGCCAUCAGGCAUAGCCUGAUAAAAUAAGUCGCUUUGCGCAACCCUGAUAAAACUUAGAGUGAAGUCUCAGGCAUUUGCCUUCACCCUGAUAAAGGCAAAGAAGCCAGGGCAGAAACCACCAGACCAGAUGUCCUGACCUCAGAACGAAGUCACUGAGAAACCCGGUAACAGCUGAUAGUGAUUGAAAGGGCAGGCAAAAGCCCCAAAAUUUAGCAUAAAUAAUGGAGCAAAUGUCAGCCAGCCGACACUGAUGCACACAAGACUGAUGAGCCCCUGAACUGACAUCCCAACUCUUCUCCUCUGCCUGAUCCUCUAGGUCAUCCUCACUGCUUUCAAACUCUCCAGCAGCCUCUUGACUCUGGUGAGAAAAGGAUUCUUCCUUAAGACAGUCUCCACAGCCAGCCAUCAGCUCCUCCCCAGGAGAAGCCUCCAUCAGUUCCUGACCUGGUCACUGUGGUCCAAGUGAGUGUGGAUCUGCUGGACUGAAGGCCUAAGACUUAAUUCCUACUACUUAAGCUUAGCAUGCAAAGGGAAUGUCUGUAAUAGGUCUGUCAUGAUUAAAUGUGUUUGCAGUGCUUAGAGUUAACUUAGAAUUGUUUGCUUUGAAUUGGUUAUGUCUAUUGCAGUGCCCAGAAUUAAGGAUUGUAAUUCCUUGAUUAAGAACCUAUAGAGUGAAUUGUAUUGCAUGAUUUUAGUGAAUAAAGCAUUGAAAAGGGCUUAAGUGCAUGGAAAUUCUUUAUCUCUCCCCUGGACUGCAGAUGUUGCACUUUUGCCCAUCGCCACACACAGUCAAUUGUUCAAACACCUUAGGUAUCUUACUUUCAGGACUGGGAGUGGAAAUGGCGCAGGGCUAAAGCAAGAGUCUUGGUUUUGUAAGCUCAUCCAUUAGUUUGCUGACAGAAGUCUGAAUAGGGAAUUUCCUGGGGCUUAUUGUAUUGGGGUCCACUGACACAUUAGGAUUUGGUUUUAAGGUGCUAGUCAAAUGGGAGGUCCUUUUAUGUUAUUUUCCUCUAAUACGCCUGGGCUUUUCAACGACAAAAACUUCAAUUUUACCCUAGAGAAGGUGG